UACGUAGGGUGCGAGCGUUGUCCGGAAUUAUUGGGCGUAAAGGGCUCGUAGGCGGUUUGUCGCGUCGGGAGUGAAAUCCACUGGCUUAACUGGUGGCUUGCUUUCGAUACGGGCAGACUGGAGGUAUGCAGGGGAGAACGGAAUUCCUGGUGUAGCGGUGAAAUGCGCAGAUAUCAGGAGGAACACCGGUGGCGAAGGCGGUUCGCUGGGCAGGUCCUGACGCUGAGGAGCGAAAGUGUGGGGAGCGAACAGG
This 253-nucleotide ribosomal RNA is filed under the name uncultured bacterium. RNAcentral's name for it is "partial 16S ribosomal RNA". It matches the Rfam family "Bacterial small subunit ribosomal RNA", at positions 524 to 776 of the family's 1533-position model. The record is from RNAcentral.